AUGUACCGGAGCGCUGGGCGGACAGCCUUGGGGGGCACCGGCCGCCACCUGAGUGACCGCGGGAGGAGGAUGCUGGGGGAUAAGGGAUAUCCCACACUCGGGGGGUGCUGGACGGAUGCGAGGGUACGGGAUCGUCGCCUUGCGGAGUCCUGGGGGGACCAUGCUGGGUUACCACGGCCAGCUGGGAGGAUGCUGAGAGGACGGACCGUCCCAGGCUCAGAGCCCCUGGGAAGCCCUGCCUGGGUCCUCCUGCUCUGCUGGAGCCUGGCUGCUUGCUGCACAGGUGCCAUGGCCUUGCAGCCGCCCAGCAUCACCGCCCUGCGGAUGCCAGCAGAGCUUCCUCGCCCAGGUGAGAGUGUGACUGUGUCAUGUGAAGCACUGAGUGAGCUUCCAGAGAUGACGCUGCUCUACUGGCUGGAGAACGGCUUCUUCGUGGAGAGCCUGCACCCCGACGGGGCUGUACGUGAGGGGACAGUGCAAGUCUCGGGAGUGCGGAGACCAAAGCUUCGGAUCAACAGGAAGCCUCAGGUGAACUGGAUGCAUGUCAUAGGAGAUCAAAGACCUAACAUGGUUUGUGCUGUUAUGAUGCCUAAGGCAAAGCCUCUGCAGACAAAGGUCAGUGUUUGCAACUGAGUGCCAGAGAUCCUUCACAAUUUAUUAUUCCUACAACACAAGAGCAGUUUGAAUGGUGUUUUGCUAACUGUACAGCCUUGCAAAGUGCUUUGCAAAAUUUUUCUGACACCUCGGGAGGCUGUCCUGAAGGGCAAAGGAACCCAGGAAGGCUGGAUGUGCUGUAAGAAGGAAUCUUCAGGGCACAGAAGCAGGCUACGCUGAAAGAAGAGCCAGAGGGAGGGGAACUUUGUCUGGAACUCAGAGUAAAAAGGAUAGUUUAUAAUAUUUGAAAAAAGGGGCAGCAAGUCAGGAAAUAAACAAGGAUGUGAUGAGGCA
Molecule: long non-coding RNA, 948 nt
Filed under: Zonotrichia albicollis (white-throated sparrow)
Lineage: Eukaryota; Metazoa; Chordata; Aves; Passeriformes; Passerellidae
Description: lncRNA (ENSZALG00000015412.1)
Source: RNAcentral